RNAcentral lists this ribosomal RNA (459 nucleotides) under uncultured bacterium. Its description in RNAcentral is "partial 16S ribosomal RNA". It matches the Rfam family "Bacterial small subunit ribosomal RNA", at positions 338 to 795 of the family's 1533-position model. The record is from RNAcentral.
CCUACGGGAGGCAGCAGUGAGGAAUAUUGGUCAAUGAGCGGGAGCCUGAACCAGCCAAGCCGCGUGAGGGAAGAAGGUACAGCGUAUCGUAAACCUCUUUUGUCAGGGAACAAAGGCGGGGACUAGUCCCCGGAUGAGGGUACCUGAAGAAAAAGCAUCGGCUAACUCCGUGCCAGCAGCCGCGGUAAUACGGAGGAUUCGAGCGUUAUCCGGAUUUAUUGGGUUUAAAGGGUGCGCAGGCGGCCUGUUAAGUCAGCGGGAAAAGCCCGGGGCUCAACCCCGGCGAGCCGUGGAAACUGGCGGGCUGGAGUUGGAGAGAGGGACGCGGAAUGCGCGGUGUAGCGGUGAAAUGCUUAGAUAUCGCGCAGAACCCCGAUGGCGAAGGCAGCGUACCGGCUCCACACUGACGCUGAGGCACGAAAGCGUGGGUAUCGAACAGGAUUAGAUACCCCAGUAGUC